RNAcentral lists this ribosomal RNA (414 nucleotides) under uncultured bacterium. Its description in RNAcentral is "bacterial SSU rRNA". It matches the Rfam family "Bacterial small subunit ribosomal RNA", at positions 945 to 1359 of the family's 1533-position model. The record is from RNAcentral.
UUUAAUUCGAAGCAACGCGCAGAACCUUACCAGCGUUUGACAUGUCCGGACGAUUUCCAGAGAUGGAUUUCUUUCCUUCGGGAACUGGAACACAGGUGCUGCAUGGCUGUCGUCAGCUCGUGUCGUGAGAUGUUGGGUUAAGUCCCGCAACGAGCGCAACCCUCGCCUUUAGUUACCAUCAUUCAGUUGGGGACUCUAAAGGAACCGCCGGUGAUAAGCCGGAGGAAGGUGGGGAUGGCGUCAAGUCCUCAUGGCCCUUACGCGCUGGGCUACACACGUGCUACAAUGGCGGUGACAGUGGGCAGCAAUCCUGCAAGGGUGAGCUAAUCUCCAAAAGCCGUCUCAGUUCGGAUUGCACUCUGCAACUCGAGUGCAUGAAGGCGGAAUCGCUAGUAAUCGCGGAUCAGCAUGCCG